GAGAAGGAGAAAAAUAUUAAAUUUCAGGUAUUUCAUACUCUUUUCUUUUCAUAUUAUUUUCUUUUAAUUUAUAAAUCUCAAUUGUUAGAUCUUUAUUAUAUAUAUGUUGAAUGUCUAUAUGUACAUAGUUUAGUAGAAAUUGUUAUGAGAUUAGUGAAAGGAGAAAACAUUAAACAGAGAACUGGAAUUCGCUUCUGGUUGUAUCAAUGGCUGCCAAACUAAAAAUUAUCCAGUGUGGUCGAGCCUACGAAAUUAUCAUGUACUUUAAUUUAAAAAUUGGUCAAUCGAAUAAAUUUUUGGUCAUGUGAAUAGUCAUUUUUUAUAUUUUUCAGUGUUCUGGAUCCAAUUAUAGGGUUAGUUAGGACUGAUUUGGAGUAAUUCUAAGGUUAGAAUGAUGUGUUAUAUAAAGUGGUGAUCGAUAGUGAUAAUGAGCGUGUUUGGUAGUGUUUAACGGUGAAAAAUUAUCCAAUUGCCUUAAAAUUUUAUUAGGGUGUAACUACUACCACUUAAUGAGAAUUCAUCGGAUUGAAUUAUAAAUUUAUAGGAUUGAGUUCAUUAGUUUGAAUUAUUUUGUUGUAGGUGAUAAUCUUUUACUUUUGAUAGUUACGGAAGCAGAUUAAAGUACUCUGGUUCAACUAAAGGAGUGACUCGAUUGCAUUUGUAUGCCGGUAACAGGUUGGGAUAAUACAGAUAGUUUUGUUCAUAUUGAAUUAAUUGACUUUGAUAAAAUGUUGAUGUUGAUAUACAUACGAGGUUACUUGAAAUAAUGUUAAAGUUGAUAUACAUAUGAGGUGACAUUGUGGCAUUGCAUGUUGUAUGCUAAUGCAUUGCAUGGGGGAAGGUUUUUCCGAUUUGGGCCUAACCUAAAAAUUAACCGAUAUAGUGUUGAUCUAAAAGGAUGUCGAUGUGGGGCAUCUUUGAUAACGAGUUAUCGCUCAUGGGGCCAACGUUACUAAAAACUUGGCGGACAUGUGCGGUGAGCAUAUUGCCUUGACAUUCUUUAUUGUGGAUAUAUAUGAUGAUGGUGUUCUUUUUCCCAUUUAAUGAGUGAUUAUCGUUGUGGCAGUUAACUUUAGCGCACACAGACAUAGAUGUUUUGGGCAGGUGAGCAGAUAUGGAUAGCUGUCUAGUUCACUGUGAUCGAGAUCCUAGACGUGGUAACUUUCCUGGUCGUGUUUGGAAGUCAGUGGCAAAACUUGGGAUAAUUCUUGUCUUUAUACAAUUUUGUCUAGUUUUGUGUCAGUUGUUUAAAUGUCUUAUGUUUUAAAGCGAGUUUGUUUAUAUUUCAGUUAGGAUGUAUACAUAUACAUUUUAAAUUACUGUGAAUGAGUAUUAUGUAAUGUGGUGGAUAUCAGGAGUCGUUCGCAGGUAUGGUGACCUGUGCGAUCACAUCCCAUCUAAUUGUCAUUAAUUAUGUUUAAUUAGGUUGGGGGUGUGACAUAUAAUCUAGGUUAUGGUAUAGUGUUGGUGUCUAAGAUUGCAGUGAAUCGUAGAGAUUUGUUGGACUCGGUUAGAUUGUCAAGGGUGUGAGAAAUUAUAUAUUGGAUGUCCUAAUCUUGAUUUAAUGCAGAAAGAAAGAAUGACGGAUAAGGAGUCAUCAAAUUCAGUUAGAGAAGUGGAAGAAGGAGAGCAUGAAUCACGUGUUCAGAAUUAGCUUGAUGCAACAAAAAUAUUGACUAUGCUGAUGGCACAGUAUAUGGAGUAGUUGCUUGCCCUUGUCGUGCACUUUCAAUUGCUCAUUUACUCCCACUAACUGUACUGCCUACCGAUGAAGCUGUUGUAGGCCCUUGGGUACAAUGACUUGCUAUAUGCCCUGGUUAUUCACACUAAUAACAUUUUUCCGCC
Molecule: long non-coding RNA, 1845 nt
Filed under: Actinidia chinensis (golden kiwifruit)
Lineage: Eukaryota; Viridiplantae; Streptophyta; Magnoliopsida; Ericales; Actinidiaceae
Description: long non-coding RNA (ACHI_LNC002781)
Source: RNAcentral